GCCAGGGCGGGUGCUAAUACAUGCAAGUCGAGCGGACUGAUGGGAGCUUGCUCCCUGAAGUCAGCGGCGGACGGGUGAGUAACACGUGGGCAACCUGCCUGUAAGACUGGGAUAACUUCGGGAAACCGGAGCUAAUACCGGAUAACACCAAGGACCUCAUGGUCCUUGGUUGAAAGAUGGCUUCGGCUAUCACUUACAGAUGGGCCCGCGGCGCAUUAGCUAGUUGGUGAGGUAACGGCUCACCAAGGCGACGAUGCGUAGCCGACCUGAGAGGGUGAUCGGCCACACUGGGACUGAGACACGGCCCAGACUCCUACGGGAGGCAGCAGUAGGGAAUCUUCCGCAAUGGACGAAAGUCUGACGGAGCAACGCCGCGUGAGUGAUGAAGGCCUUCGGGUCGUAAAACUCUGUUGUUAGGGAAGAACAAGUACCGUUCGAAUAGGGCGGUACCUUGACGGUACCUAACCAGAAAGCCACGGCUAACUACGUGCCAGCAGCCGCGGUAAU
Molecule: ribosomal RNA, 507 nt
Filed under: Bacillus fengqiuensis
Lineage: Bacteria; Bacillati; Bacillota; Bacilli; Caryophanales; Bacillaceae
Description: bacterial SSU rRNA
Rfam family: Bacterial small subunit ribosomal RNA
Source: RNAcentral